AGCAACACGUCCAUCAACAGCAAACAUUUAAAAAUGAAAAUAAAUGGACUCAUACACUUCUACAAAACAAGAGAGAAGUUCUGUGUGACAUUAAAGUGGAGUGGAGGCAACAACUGACACGGAGUUUGCGUUAUAUCUGCUGGACAGCUUCUACACAUGCCAUGGAAGAAAUCCGACCUCUCCAGUGAGCGAGCGGCUCGACGGCCCAGCAGCUCUGCCUGCAUUUGAAUGUCAAAGAGCAUCUCGGAGCUGUCACGGCCCGCUGCCACACGGGAGGAACUUCCCUCUCAGUCCUCACCGUUACCCACAAGGCACCUGCACAGCACAGACGAUAACGGCCAACCGCCUGACAGAGGAAGAGUGGGAUGUUAGCAGAGCUUGGAAAGAGAAG
This is a long non-coding RNA of Trematomus bernacchii (emerald rockcod), 391 nucleotides long. RefSeq lists it as uncharacterized. Lineage: Eukaryota; Metazoa; Chordata; Actinopteri; Perciformes; Nototheniidae. The transcript has 4 exons. The record is from RefSeq and is a predicted model, not a curated record.